UUCCUAAAAAAAAAAAACAUAUUGAAAAAAUGUAUAAAAAGCCUUUUUAAAGUAUUUUUUCCAAGAUGUGAUGUAGUUCAACAAAGUACUGCUGUGCAUUUAUUCACUUAUGUUAUUUCCUCCUGAAUAAUGCGUUUAUCAAAAGUUAAUUGAGUGACACAGCGGGAUGCCGUGGUCAGUGCUGAUGAAACCGCUCCUUGCUGCAAACUAUUUCCACGUGAUCUAUAUAGGUCAACUUAUCAAGAUUUUGAAAAACCGGGCAGCAUUCUUGAAAGACAAAGAACAGGAUUUAGGGAAUAUUUUACAUCACCGUAUGAAGCUGUUUGCAAAGACUAAAUAUUAUUUGGUACCUCUUUAAAGAUUACAUUAAUGAGAGGAAUAAGGCAAAAUGAGGUUUGCUACACACCGUCCUGGAGGGAUUUACCGGAGUUUAAUUCUUUAAGAAGAAAACAAAGAAGUCCAAGUGCCAAACAGAUGAUUUCCAAAGGAAGAAAGAUAUUGUGAUUUUUUUUCCUAAUUUCAAUUGUGUCAAAUCUUCUCUGUUAAGAAGACUGUUAUUGACUGGGUGGAUGUAAAAAAGAGGUCAUGGAUUACAUUUGUGAAAUAUAUAGUUUAAACCACAAAUCUUCUCUGUUAAGAAGACUG
Saccostrea cuccullata (small rock oyster) is the source of this 645-nucleotide long non-coding RNA. RefSeq lists it as uncharacterized. The transcript has 3 exons. Lineage: Eukaryota; Metazoa; Mollusca; Bivalvia; Ostreida; Ostreidae. The record is from RefSeq and is a predicted model, not a curated record.